GUGAGUCAUCGAAUCUUUGAACGCAUCUUGCGCUCCUUGGUAUUCCGAGGAGCAUGCCUGUUUGAGUGUCAUCAAAAAUUCUCAACCAUGCUGGUUCUUCUGGCAUGGCUUGGAUUUGGGGGGGUCUGCAGGCUUUAAAGUCGGCUCCCCUGAAAAGGAUUAGCGGUAUCUGAGCAGACACGGCGUGAUAAUUAUCUAUGCUGUUGGCAUGCGCAAGAAUCCUGCUUCUAAACCCGAGUGUUGAAAAAUUUGACCUCAAAUCAGGUAGGACUACCCGCUGAACUUAAGCAUAUCAAUAAGCGGAGG
RNAcentral lists this ribosomal RNA (306 nucleotides) under uncultured Inocybe. RNAcentral's name for it is "eukaryotic LSU rRNA". The stretch from base 1 to 71 matches the Rfam family "5.8S ribosomal RNA", at positions 84 to 154 of the family's 154-position model. The record is from RNAcentral. Lineage: Eukaryota; Fungi; Basidiomycota; Agaricomycetes; Agaricales; Cortinariaceae.